CUUGACAUGUCUGGAAUCCUGAAGAGAUUUGGGAGUGCCCGAAAGGGAGCCAGAACACAGGUGCUGCAUGGCUGUCGUCAGCUCGUGUCGUGAGAUGUUGGGUUAAGUCCCGCAACGAGCGCAACCCUUGUCAUUAAUUGCCAUCAUUUAGUUGGGCACUUUAAUGAGACUGCCGGUGACAAACCGGAGGAAGGUGGGGAUGACGUCAAGUCCUCAUGGCCCUUAUGGGUAG
Molecule: ribosomal RNA, 232 nt
Filed under: uncultured beta proteobacterium
Lineage: Bacteria; Pseudomonadati; Pseudomonadota; Betaproteobacteria
Description: partial 16S ribosomal RNA
Rfam family: Bacterial small subunit ribosomal RNA
Source: RNAcentral